UGGCGCACCUGUGGACUCGCGGCCAAUCGGGGCAGGCCGGGCUGUCUAAAGUCUACAGCGGCCAUUUGCACGGCGCUCGGGCCGGCGCGUCUGCGAAUUCCCAAAUGCGGAAUCUCGACUGCAUAAAUUUAUGGUAGUGGGGGACUGCGUUCGCGCUCUCCCCUG
Carassius auratus (goldfish) is the source of this 165-nucleotide small nuclear RNA. Its record names the gene U1. It matches the Rfam family "U1 spliceosomal RNA". From Rfam's summary of the family: U1 is a small nuclear RNA (snRNA) component of the spliceosome (involved in pre-mRNA splicing). NCBI's taxonomy places the organism in Eukaryota, Metazoa, Chordata, Actinopteri, Cypriniformes, Cyprinidae. The record is from Ensembl.